RNAcentral lists this ribosomal RNA (834 nucleotides) under uncultured Pseudomonadota bacterium. RNAcentral's name for it is "bacterial SSU rRNA". It matches the Rfam family "Bacterial small subunit ribosomal RNA", at positions 36 to 886 of the family's 1533-position model. Lineage: Bacteria; Pseudomonadati; Pseudomonadota. The record is from RNAcentral.
CUGGCGGCAUGCCUAACACAUGCAAGUCGAACGAGAAAGUUCCUUCGGGAGCGAUUAAAGUGGCGCACGGGUGAGUAACGCGUAGACAAUCUGCCCUUCAGUCUGGGACAACUUUUCGAAAGGAGAGCUAAUACCGGAUGACAAUGUAACACAUAAGUGUCACAUUUGAAAGCUCCGGCGCUGAAGGAGGGGUCUGCGUCCCAUUAGCUAGUUGGUAAGGUAAAGGCUUACCAAGGCGACGAUGGGUAGCGGGUUUGAGAGGACGAUCCGCCACACUGGAACUGAGACACGGUCCAGACUCCUACGGGAGGCAGCAGUGGGGAAUAUUGCACAAUGGAGGCAACUCUGAUGCAGCAAUGUCGCGUGAGUGAAGAAGGCCCUUGGGUCGUAAAGCUCUUUUAUGGGGGAAGAUGAUGACGGUACCCCAAGAAUAAGCACCGGCUAACUACGUGCCAGCAGCCGCGGUAAUACGUAGGGUGCGAGCGUUGUUCGGAAUUACUGGGCGUAAAGGGCGCGCAGGCGGAAUAGCAAGUCGGAGGUGAAAGCCCGGGGCUCAACCCCGGAGGGUCUUUCGAAACUGCUAAUCUAGAGAGGGUCAGGGGCCAGCAGAAUUCUUGGUGUAGAGGUGAAAUUCGUAGAUAUCAAGAGGAAUACCGGUGGCGAAAGCGGCUGGCUGGGGCCACUCUGACGCUGAGGCGCGAAAGCGUGGGGAGCAAACAGGAUUAGAUACCCUGGUAGUCCACGCCGUAAACGAUGAGCACUGGAUGUCCGGAGGGUUCGACCCUUCUGGGUGUCUCAGCUAACGCAUUAAGUGCUCCGCCUGGGGAGUACGGU